Molecule: long non-coding RNA, 786 nt
Organism: Numida meleagris (helmeted guineafowl)
Lineage: Eukaryota; Metazoa; Chordata; Aves; Galliformes; Numididae
Source: Ensembl
AUUGGCAUGUGUUUUCCAUUAGUGUCUACAAUAAAGUCUUUAUAUGAGCACAUUUUUGACCAGAAAAUGAUUCACAUCCAACCCUGUAAUGGUAGAUAGGGCUCAGCCUUGCAAGGACUAGUCUUCUUGUUAACUUAGAAAGCAUCUUGUAACGGGAAAGCAUCUGUCCUGAAUCAAGCUGUUUUGGCUUCCUUGUACUGCAUGGGAGGUAGAUGUGCUGACACUGGAGAAUUAAGACAGCUGAGGGCAGAGGUGCCUAAGCUUUCCCAGACACAGUACUGAAAAACUUUCUUCCCAACUCUUGACCAGGAAUGAAAGAUUCAUUCUGCUUUGGAUGAACAGUCAUAAAUCUGCGCUGGAAUUUAGAGAACUUAAUUAUUUCUUAAAAUGAUUGAAUUUUUUCAUCCUUUUGGUUCUACUUCCUUUAAAUCCAAGUACCCAGUGAUACGAUGCCAUUUUCACUUGGGAGCUGAAACGUGCAAGGGUUGAUGCCUGCCACUCUAUUUUGCAUACUCAAAUUACCCACUGAGUAGUGGAAGAACUGUUUCAGAUGCCUGCCAUCAGACUUUAUUACAGACCUGUGCCAGAUGGGGAACAAGUGGCACCCUCAGUCUGUGCAUUCUGCUACAGGGAGUGAAUGCUGAGCAUCCUGAUUCAGAUCCCAAAUUAGUGACUUUAGCUACCCAAGCUGCCAGUGGCAGUGCUAGUAAUAAACCCAGGCAUGUCACUAUCAAGUGACUGUGCAUUGGAUCCAAAUACACUGAAAAAUUCACUUCAGCAUUAAAA